GAUGAAGAACGUAGCGAAAUGCGAUAAGUAAUGUGAAUUGCAGAAUUCAGUGAAUCAUCGAAUCUUUGAACGCACAUUGCGCCCGCUAGUAUUCUGGCGGGCAUGCCUGUUCGAGCGUCAUUUCAACCAUCAAGCCCCCGGCUUGUGUUGGGGACCUGCGGCUGCCGCAGGCCCUGAAAAGCAGUGGCGGGCUCGCUGUCACACCGAGCGUAGUAGAUUUCAUCUCGCUCAGGGCGUGCUGCGGGUUCCGGCCGUUAAACCACCUUCAUAACCCAAGGUUGACCUCGGAUCAGGUAGGAAGACCCGCUGAACUUAAGCAUAUCAAUAAGCGGAGGA
This 336-nucleotide unclassified non-coding RNA is filed under the name soil metagenome. RNAcentral describes it as "partial contains 5.8S ribosomal RNA, internal transcribed spacer 2, and large subunit ribosomal RNA". The stretch from base 1 to 120 matches the Rfam family "5.8S ribosomal RNA", at positions 35 to 154 of the family's 154-position model. The record is from RNAcentral.